AUGUUGCUGUUACAAUAUGAGUUAUCUCUACUUUAUGGCAUUUAUCAUUCAGAAAGAAGUUCAGUAUCUGAACUUUGCAGCCUCCAGCAUGUUAUCAGCUGCCAUCCAGGUGCAGAAAGAGAAGAGGAUUUAAACUUCCAAAACACUAUGACAAAUCAGUUAUGGAAAAAUAUGCCUCAAAAAGAAGGGCAACUCAGAACAUGGCACAGAGAACUGCAGGACAAGUAUAUCGACAUAAUUAAUGCAGAAGUUUUCAAGUGAACCUGAACCAGCAAGAACUCUCCACCCUCUACUGUGAACUUGUUGCUUUGUUCUACAGAAUCUCAGCUUUGAUUAGAA
RNAcentral lists this long non-coding RNA (339 nucleotides) under Anser cygnoides (Swan goose). Its description in RNAcentral is "lncRNA (ENSACDG00005017770.1)". The record is from RNAcentral. Lineage: Eukaryota; Metazoa; Chordata; Aves; Anseriformes; Anatidae.